GCUGGCGGCAUGCCUUACACAUGCAAGUCGAACGGCAGCGCGGGGCAACCUGGCGGCGAGUGGCGAACGGGUGAGUAAUAUAUCGGAACGUACCCUGGAGUGGGGGAUAACGUAGCGAAAGUUACGCUAAUACCGCAUACGAUCUAAGGAUGAAAGUGGGGGAUCGCAAGACCUCAUGCUCCUGGAGCGGCCGAUAUCUGAUUAGCUAGUUGGUGGGGUAAAGGCCCACCAAGGCAUCGAUCAGUAGCUGGUCUGAGAGGACGACCAGCCACACUGGAACUGAGACACGGUCCAAACUCCUACGGGAGGCAGCAGUGGGGAAUAUUGGACAAUGGGCGCAAGCCUGAUCCAGCCAUGCCGCGUGAGUGAUGACGGCCUUAGGGUUGUAAAGCUCUUUCGUCAGGGACGAUAAUGACGGUACCUGAAGAAGAAGCCCCGGCUAACUUCGUGCCAGCAGCCG
Molecule: ribosomal RNA, 460 nt
Filed under: uncultured bacterium
Lineage: Bacteria
Description: bacterial SSU rRNA
Rfam family: Bacterial small subunit ribosomal RNA
Source: RNAcentral